AACAGGAUUAGAUACCCUGGUAGUACACGCCGUAAACGAUGUCGACUUGGAGGUUGUUCCCUUGAGGAGUGGCUUCCGGAGCUAACGCGUUAAGUCGACCGCCUGGGGAGUACGGCCGCAAGGUUAAAACUCAAAUGAAUUGACGGGGGCCCGCACAAGCGGUGGAGCAUGUGGUUUAAUUCGAUGCAACGCGAAGAACCUUACCUACUCUUGACAUCCAGAGAGCUUAGCAGAGAUGCUUUGGUGCCUUCGGGAACUCUGAGACAGGUGCUGCAUGGCUGUCGUCAGCUCGUGUUGUGAAAUGUUGGGUUAAGUCCCGCAACGAGCGCAACCCUUAUCCUUUGUUGCCAGCGGGUUAUGCCGGGAACUCAAAGGAGACUGCCAGUGAUAAACUGGAGGAAGGUGGGGAUGACGUCAAGUCAUCAUGGCCCUUACGAGUAGGGCUACACACGUGCUACAAUGGCGCAUACAAAGAGAAGCGACCUCGCGAGAGCAAGCGGACCUCAUAAAGUGCGUCGUAGUCCGGAUCGGAGUCUGCAACUCGACUCCGUGAAGUCGGAAUCGCUAGUAAUCGUAGAUCAGAAUGCUACGGUGAAUACGUUCCCGGGCCUUGUACACACCGCCCGUCACACCAUGGGAGUGGGUUGCAAAAGAAGUAGGUAGCUUAACCUUCGGGAGGGCGCUUACCACUUUGUGAUUCAUGACUGGGGUGAAGUCGUAACAAGGUAACC
RNAcentral lists this ribosomal RNA (731 nucleotides) under uncultured bacterium. RNAcentral describes it as "bacterial SSU rRNA". It matches the Rfam family "Bacterial small subunit ribosomal RNA", at positions 771 to 1501 of the family's 1533-position model. The record is from RNAcentral.